UAGCUCAAUGGUUUAGAGCACUGGCUACUCUUCCAGAAGGCCCUGGGUUCAAUUCCCAG
Molecule: transfer RNA, 59 nt
Filed under: Rattus norvegicus (Norway rat)
Lineage: Eukaryota; Metazoa; Chordata; Mammalia; Rodentia; Muridae
Source: Rfam by way of RNAcentral